RNAcentral lists this transfer RNA (71 nucleotides) under Fasciola gigantica. RNAcentral describes it as "tRNA-Thr". It matches the Rfam family "tRNA". Rfam says of the family: Transfer RNA (tRNA) molecules are approximately 80 nucleotides in length. Their secondary structure includes four short double-helical elements and three loops (D, anti-codon, and T loops). The record is from RNAcentral. Lineage: Eukaryota; Metazoa; Platyhelminthes; Trematoda; Plagiorchiida; Fasciolidae.
ACCGCGAUAGCUCAGCUGGUAGAGCACUGCCCGGUAUGCGGAGGGUCGCCGCUCGAUUCCGGCUCGCGGCG